Molecule: ribosomal RNA, 293 nt
Filed under: uncultured eukaryote
Lineage: Eukaryota
Description: partial 18S ribosomal RNA
Rfam family: Eukaryotic small subunit ribosomal RNA
Source: RNAcentral
GGUUGAUCCUGCCAGUAGUCAUAUGCUUGUCCUAAAGAUUAAGCCAUGCAUGUCCAAGUAUAAACACGUUGUACUGUGAAACUGCGAAUGGCUCAUUAUAUCAGUUAUAAUUUAUUUGAUAGUCUCUUUACUACUUGGAUAACCGUGGUAAUUCUAGAGCUAAUACAUGCAAAAGGGUCUGGGUGUGUAUGCACCCAAGGCAGCAUUUAUUAGAUUAAAAACCAACACUUUUGGUGAUUCAUAAUAACUAUGCGGAUCGCAUGGCCUUGUGCUGGCGACGUUUCAUUCAAAUU